CAGUAGCCGCGGUAAUACGUAGGGGGCAAGCGUUAUCCGGAAUAACUGGGCGUAAAGGGUGCGCAGGUGGUUUGACAAGUUAGUGGUGAAAGGCAUAGGCUCAACCAAUGUAAGCCAUUAAAACUGUUUAACUUGAGUGCAGGAGAGGAAAGUGGAAUUCCUAGUGUAGCGGUGAAAUGCGUAGAUAUUAGGAAGAACACCAGUGGCGAAGGCGACUUUCUGGACGAAAACUGACGCUGAGGCGCGAAAGCCAGGGGAGCGAACGGGAUUAGAUACCCCUGUAGUCCCUGUCUCUUAUACA
This 301-nucleotide ribosomal RNA is filed under the name uncultured bacterium. Its description in RNAcentral is "partial 16S ribosomal RNA". It matches the Rfam family "Bacterial small subunit ribosomal RNA", at positions 509 to 809 of the family's 1533-position model. The record is from RNAcentral.